Non-coding RNA from Xenopus tropicalis (tropical clawed frog), 46 nucleotides. The record is from Rfam. NCBI's taxonomy places the organism in Eukaryota, Metazoa, Chordata, Amphibia, Anura, Pipidae.
AGACAGGCCCUCUUAAGGGCCACAUACAUGGGUUGAUAGAUUGCUG